Molecule: ribosomal RNA, 664 nt
Filed under: uncultured euryarchaeote
Lineage: Archaea; Methanobacteriati; Methanobacteriota
Description: bacterial SSU rRNA
Rfam family: Archaeal small subunit ribosomal RNA
Source: RNAcentral
CAAAGUCCGCACAGAGGGUCUCGCGAAUCAGUUUAAGGGGUUAAAGACCCCGUAGCCAUUGACGCGUACGGGUGUGGGACCAUCGCCCGGAGAUGGAUUUGGAGACACGAAUCCAGACCCACGGGGUGCAGCAGGCGCGAAAACUUCACACUGCAGGAAACUGUGAUGAGGGAACUCCAAGUGCAUGCACAAUGUGUAUGCUUUUCCUAACUUUUAAUCGGUUAGGGAAUAAGGGCUGGGAAAGACCGGUGCCAGCCGCCGCGGUAAUACCGGCAGCUCAAGUGGUCGUCGCUUUUAUUGGGCCUAAAACGUCCGUAGCCUGUUUGGUAAAUCUGUGGGUAAAUCAACCAGCUUAACUGGUUGAAUUCUGCAGAGACUGCCAGACUAGGGACCGGGAGAGGUGUGGGGUACUCUCGGGGUAGGGGUAAAAUCCUGUCAUCCUGGGAGGACCACCAGUUGCGAAGGCGCCACACUGGAACGGAUCCGACGGUCAGGGGCGAAGCCUAGGGGCACGAACCGGAUUAGAUACCCGGGUAGUCCUAGGAGUAAACGCUGUGAACUUGGUGUCGGGGAUCCUACUUGGGUUCCCGGUGCCGGAGUGAAGAUGUUAAGUUCACUGCCUGGGGAGUACGGUCGCAAGGCUGGAACUCAAAGGAAUUGACGG